UACAUAGGGGGCGAGCGUUGUCCGGAAUGAUUGGGCGUAAAGGGCGUGUAGGCGGCGGACUAAGUCUGGAGUGAAAGUCCUGUUUUCAAGAUGGGAAUUGCUUUGGAUACUGGUCAGCUUGAGUGCAGGAGAGGUUAUCGGAAUUCCCGGUGUAGCGGUGAAAUGCGUAGAGAUCGGGAGGAGCACCAGUGGCGAAGGCGGGUAACUGGACUGCAACUGACGCUGAGGCGCGAAAGUGUGGGGAGCAAAC
Molecule: ribosomal RNA, 250 nt
Filed under: uncultured prokaryote
Description: partial 16S ribosomal RNA
Rfam family: Bacterial small subunit ribosomal RNA
Source: RNAcentral